GCUGUUAUUGCAAAAUGUUCUA
RNAcentral lists this microRNA (22 nucleotides) under Plutella xylostella (diamondback moth). RNAcentral's name for it is "pxy-miR-8537-5p". Lineage: Eukaryota; Metazoa; Arthropoda; Insecta; Lepidoptera; Plutellidae. The record is from miRBase by way of RNAcentral.